AGAGUUUGAUCCUGGCUCAGGACGAACGCUGGCGGCGUGCUUAACACAUGCAAGUCGAACGGAAAGGCCCUUCGGGGUACUCGAGUGGCGAACGGGUGAGUAACACGUGGGUGAUCUGCCCUGCACUCUGGGAUAAGCCUGGGAAACUGGGUCUAAUACCGGAUAGGACCACACACUUCAUGGUGAGUGGUGCAAAGCUUUUGCGGUGUGGGAUGAGCCCGCGGCCUAUCAGCUUGUUGGUGGGGUAAUGGCCCACCAAGGCGACGACGGGUAGCCGGCCUGAGAGGGUGACCGGCCACACUGGGACUGAGAUACGGCCCAGACUCCUACGGGAGGCAGCAGUGGGGAAUAUUGCACAAUGGGCGCAAGCCUGAUGCAGCGACGCCGCGUGAGGGAUGACGGCCUUCGGGUUGUAAACCUCUUUCAGUAGGGACGAAGCGAAAGUGACGGUACCUACAGAAGAAGGACCGGCCAACUACGUGCCAGCAGCCGCGGUAAUACGUAGGGUCCGAGCGUUGUCCGGAAUUACUGGGCGUAAAGAGCUCGUAGGUGGUUUGUCGCGUUGUUCGUGAAAACUCACAGCUUAACUGUGGGCGUGCGGGCGAUACGGGCAGACUAGAGUACUGCAGGGGAGACUGGAAUUCCUGGUGUAGCGGUGGAAUGCGCAGAUAUCAGGAGGAACACCGGUGGCGAAGGCGGGUCUCUGGGCAGUAACUGACGCUGAGGAGCGAAAGCGUGGGUAGCGAACAGGAUUAGAUACCCUGGUAGUCCAA
RNAcentral lists this ribosomal RNA (773 nucleotides) under uncultured bacterium. RNAcentral's name for it is "bacterial SSU rRNA". It matches the Rfam family "Bacterial small subunit ribosomal RNA", at positions 8 to 798 of the family's 1533-position model. The record is from RNAcentral.